RNAcentral lists this small RNA (28 nucleotides) under Bombyx mori (domestic silkworm). Its description in RNAcentral is "piRNA piR-bmo-1800499". Lineage: Eukaryota; Metazoa; Arthropoda; Insecta; Lepidoptera; Bombycidae. The record is from RNAcentral.
UAAUUUGAUGUUUGUGGCUGUAUGGCAG